UCAGCAGCCGCGGUAAUACGGAGGGUCCAGGCGUUAUCCGGAUUAUUGGGUUUAAAGGGAGCGUAGGCUGGAGAUUAAGUGUGUUGUGAAAUGUAGACGCUCAACGUCUGAAUUGCAGCGCAUACUGGUUUCCUUGAGUACGCACAACGUUGGCGGAAUUCGUCGUGUAGCGGUGAAAUGCUUAGAUAUGACGAAGAACUCCGAUUGCGAAGGCAGCUGACGGGAGCGCAACUGACGCUUAAGCUCGAAGGUGCGGGUAUCAAACAGGAUUAGAUACCCUGGUAGUCCGCACAGUAAACGAUGGAUGCCCGCUGUUGGUACCUGGUAUCAGCGGCUAAGCGAAAGCAUUAAGCAUCCCACCUGGGGAGUACGCCGGCAACGGUGAAACUCAAAGGAAUUGACGGGGGCCCGCACAAGCGGAGGAACAUGUGGUUUAAUUCGAUGAUACGCGAGGAACCUUACCCGGGAUUGAAAUGUAGAUGACCGCUCUUGAAAGGGAGUUUUCCUUCGGGACAUCUAUGUAGGUGCUGCAUGGUUGUCGUCAGCUCGUGCCGUGAGGUGUCGGCUUAAGUGCCAUAACGAGCGCAACCCCUGUCUACGGUUGCCAUCAGGUAAUGCUGGGAACUCCGUAGAGACUGCCGUCGUAAGGCGUGAGGAAGGUGGGGAUGACGUCAAAUCAGCACGGCCCUUACAUCCGGGGCGACACACGUGUUACAAUGGUAAGGACAAAGGGCAGCUACCUGGCGACAGGAUGCGAAUCUCUAAACCUUAUCACAGUUCGGAUCGGAGUCUGCAACUCGACUCCGUGAAGCUGGAUUCGCUAGUAAUCGCGCAUCAGCCAUGGCGCGGUGAAUACGUUCCCGGGCCUUGUACACACCGCCCGUCAAGCCAUGGGAGUCUGGAGUACCUAAAGUCCGUAACCGCAAGGGUCGGCCUAGGGUAAUACAGGUGACUGGGGCUAAGUCGUAACAAGGUAGCCGU
RNAcentral lists this ribosomal RNA (981 nucleotides) under uncultured bacterium. Its description in RNAcentral is "bacterial SSU rRNA". It matches the Rfam family "Bacterial small subunit ribosomal RNA", at positions 508 to 1503 of the family's 1533-position model. The record is from RNAcentral.